GCGAGUCGGACCAGACCAGCAAAAGAAAAAGAAAAAACACACCCGUCCACUCCCCAAUCCCCCUCCCCCUCUCUCUACUCGAUUGCGCCGCCGCCCCCGACCUAAACCUAACUCAACUGCGCCGCCGCCCCUGAUCUGCGCGCCGCCGCCCGUCCUCUGGUCCCCUCGUGCCACAUCAUCUCCGACCCCGGCCUCCCUCCCCGCAGGGCACCAUCCGCCCAGGAGCAGCAGCUUCGUCCGCCACACCGAGGAGCAGCAGCGCCGUCAACCGCCGCCGAGGAUCCACUGCUGAUUUUUCUCCACGUGUGAUCUCUGUUUCGGCUGAUUUCCUUCCCUCCGCCCCGCCUACAGAAUUCAAGAGGUGGUGGAGGCAAGUCAAGAAUUUACGUCGGUUCUGUUACAGGAACAGAGGAUAGUCCUCCUAAGCUGCUUAAUGGUACAAUUUGUGUCAUUAUAAACAUUGGAUGCAGUAGACUGUCAUAAUACCUAGUUUCUAUCAAAAAUGAUAAUAAGGGCACAAUAUGAUGAUAGUAAAUCUGGGUUAUGGAAGAACAUUGAGUAUUUGGUUUAUAUAUUUAUAUUUGUAUAGCAGCACCCUGAUUAUGCAAAUAGUAUCAAAUCUCGAGCCUUAAUCAUGGCAGCUAGCAGAAAAUGUAUGGUUUAGUUUGCAAGCACAUACAUUGAGUAUUUGGUUUCUAUAUUUACCUGUCGGAAAAGACCUAUCCUGGCAAGACUAUAGGCAACAGCUCCUUUCUGUCAGGAAAGGUCUUUGCCGACACUAAAUGUGUCGCCUUAGGUGACCUAUGCCGACAGAUUGUUUGACGUUGCUUUGGGUGUCGUGGUGUAGUGCAACAGGGUGAGCGUGAAUGCGACUAUGCAGCGACUUCAAGUGGAAGGAUGCCACUGGGCAUAUGGUAUGACUCGACGAUGUUGUAGGCGUUCUCAUUGUUCGCCGAGGUGUUGAUCUCCGGCAAGAGGAAGAAGACGGUGUCAAUGCUAAAACCGGCACAUCUCGGGUAGGGGGUCCCAAGGUUCGUGAUCUGAGCUAGAUGGUAACACGAGAAAGAAAGUAGGGACACAUUUCUUAACCAGGUUCAAGCCCUCUCCCUCUUGAAGAGGUGCUUUUGAUAUAUUGAUUGUGAUGGGGUUGCGUCCAAUAUAGUUUUUGGUUUCUUUGUU
Triticum aestivum (bread wheat) is the source of this 1179-nucleotide long non-coding RNA. RefSeq lists it as uncharacterized. The record is from RefSeq and is a predicted model, not a curated record. The transcript is spliced from 2 exons. Lineage: Eukaryota; Viridiplantae; Streptophyta; Magnoliopsida; Poales; Poaceae.